Long non-coding RNA from Amblyraja radiata (thorny skate), 241 nucleotides. RefSeq lists it as uncharacterized. The transcript is spliced from 2 exons. The record is from RefSeq and is a predicted model, not a curated record. NCBI's taxonomy places the organism in Eukaryota, Metazoa, Chordata, Chondrichthyes, Rajiformes, Rajidae.
UCGCUGCGACUCGUCACGUGAUAAUAACGCAUCAUUCACUCAUUCAUCCAUUCGUUCAAAUGCCGCCCCUUUCGUUCGGGAGUAUUCGUCAAGCAUUAUUUUUUUGAACAUUUUUUUUUGUACGAUUAUUUUUUUACAGGCAUAUCCAGCAAAUUGAAAUUUGACCUCAGAUUGUCACAGCCAAUAAAUUCAGAAACGGGAGAAAAAAAAAUAAUUUUGAAUUCAAACAAGCUAAAAAAAA